UACGUAGGUGGCAAGCGUUGUCCGGAUUUACUGGGCGUAAAGGGCGUGCAGGCGGUUUGUUAAGUGCAGGGUGAAAGCUCCCGGCUCAACUGGGAGAGGUCCUUGCAUACUGGCGAACUCGAGGGAGGCAGAGGAAAGUGGAAUUCCCGGUGUAGUUGGUGAUAUGCGUAGGAUAUCGGGAGGAACACCUGUGGCGAAGGCGGCUUUCUGGGCCUUACCUGACGCUGAGACGCGAAAGCGUGGGGAGCAACCGG
Molecule: ribosomal RNA, 254 nt
Filed under: uncultured bacterium
Lineage: Bacteria
Description: partial 16S ribosomal RNA
Rfam family: Bacterial small subunit ribosomal RNA
Source: RNAcentral